UAUGUGAGAACAGAGGACAACUUUGUGUUAUGCUUUUAGUUAAAAAUUAAAUACUAAUUGUGAGUCAUAGUCAUAGUAUAGCUUUUGAUAUAUUUGGAAAUGAAAAAAACUUGUCUACAUAACUUUCUUCAGCGCGUGUCUGUAAAUCGCGAAAACUAAAUAAAUGACAGAUCUGUUAAAUGAGGUCGAGCUUGAUGCUCCAGAAAUUAAAGCAUAUGCGUUUAACGUAAAAGGAUAAAUAAAACAAAAUAUCGAAAAGUGUACCAGCCACGCGCGACUACCGACCAGUAAGUGACCAGCUACCAAAACCAAAAUAAUGUAUAUGAAAGGAUCAAGGAUCUACGUUUAAAGAUGUAUACAUGUUUAUAUAUAUAUAUAUAUAUAUAAUUGACCGAUAAAAAUUUAUGAAAACAAAAGGAAAGUACCGCUAUUCUUAGUCAGAAUUUAAGCUUGUCCUGAUGCCUGUCCUGGACCGAGUAGACAUUUAGCCACUUGGUGCCUGUCGAGACUCAAGGCUCAAAGAAGAUCAAUAUCAUAUCAAGUGUUGGAGAACUUUUUACAUUGCUAAUUUAUUUUUUUUUAACCGAAAAAAUUCCAAAAUAAUAUUCGUUUGAGUAAAUCCAAAAUAGCUAUCUAUAAUGCUCGAGUUUUUAGUAAAAUUUUUUUAAAAAGCUUACUAAAAAAAUUUGAUGUUUUUCAGAUAUUUAGAUACCGAUUAUCUGUUCUACUUUUCAAUUUGUUUACAAACAACUCAGACGUAUAAAUUGUGUGAAUGUGUCAUGUGAAAGUAUUACUUGUUUGCUUGUAAAAUAAAAUACUUAUUAAAUAUAACCUACCAUCCUAGAUUUUAAAUCAACUGGUGACUAGAAAUUUGAAUAGCGCGCCUAAAUUUUAACCAAUAAUGAAUCGUGGCCCGUUUUUUGCGAGU
Molecule: long non-coding RNA, 928 nt
Organism: Cotesia glomerata
Lineage: Eukaryota; Metazoa; Arthropoda; Insecta; Hymenoptera; Braconidae
Exons: 3
Source: RefSeq, a predicted model, not a curated record